Molecule: long non-coding RNA, 1013 nt
Filed under: Phascolarctos cinereus (koala)
Lineage: Eukaryota; Metazoa; Chordata; Mammalia; Diprotodontia; Phascolarctidae
Description: lncRNA (ENSPCIG00000036679.1)
Source: RNAcentral
GCCAGACAGUUUAUAGGAUGAUCAUAUGACAGAGGGAAGGGCUUAAGAAUCAUGGAGAAGCUAAACUAGUCUAGGUUGACAAUAGUCAAGUGUCCAAGUAUUCAGUGUGAAGAAGGAAAAUGGGUUGAGGGAAUGGGUGAAUGGGAUGACUAGAAUCCCUUUCACACAAGAGUUUUCAUGUGGCUUUUAGCGGCAACUAAUUUAGGCUCACCAAAAUAUAUGUGCUGAACAAAUGCUUUUUCCUAGUUAGAUUCACCUCUGUCAAGACUUUAUGCUUUAUUACAGGCAGAAAAUGCAUCAGCUGGACUGUGUUAGUUUUGCUGGCAGAUUAAUGACACACACUCCACUUUUUGUCAAACCUCUGUCCUAGCUGAAGUGCUCAGAAAGUUAAAAAAUCUGGCCUAGCGUGGAGAAAAGGCAGGCCUUCAUUUUUUAAAAAGAGAUUUUUCACUUCUAGUCAAAUGGUGGUGCUAUUUCUUCAUUUUUGAGGCAUUGCAUUUCCUAAUUUCUUGGUCAUAACAACCUCCUGUGUAUUGCCACAGAGCAGAUUUCACCAAAACAGAGAAUGCAAGGGCACAUGCAUAGAAGCUGUUUAAUGGGCUAGAAAGGUUAAUAGUCCUUCCUCCUGCAUAUUCUAUAGUAUAAGAAGACAGACAGGCUGUGAGGGGGAUUCUUCUGUCCAACCUGGAGACUUUGACUGCACUCAAAAGAAGAAAAGCUGUGGGCUGUCCCCUCCUCCCAGCCUUGGAGAUCUUAAAAAGGUACAAUUGCUAAUUCUAGGGUUUUUUGAGCUAUGGAGAAAGGUAAAUAACUUUGAAGUUAAACUAUGGAGGAACUGACCAGGGCUUAUUAAUUCUGCGCACAGACUACCUGCAGUCGUAUGCCAGGAUGACGUAGGUAAAUGUAUGCCAUUCCUCAGCCUUCAUUAAGAAGAAAUGAAGGAGAAAGGAGACAUUUUAAAAGCAAUUAGACCCAAAAAGAACAGGAAUAGAGAGAAGGGUAAGAGAAGGAAG